Molecule: transfer RNA, 61 nt
Filed under: Ledra auditura
Lineage: Eukaryota; Metazoa; Arthropoda; Insecta; Hemiptera; Cicadellidae
Also listed under: 1 other name
Description: tRNA-Ala
Source: RNAcentral
AGGAAUUUAUUUAAUUAUAAUAUUUGAUUUGCGUUCAAAAGGUGUCUAAAGACUUUUCUUA